UCAAGAUUUCCUUAAGAUCUCAAAAUCUUCCAAAGAUUAGCAAGAUCAAUUCAUAUCUCACCAAAUAUUUUCUCUCUCCCUCACUCACCAUUUUCGGCCCUCUCUCCCUCUCCUUCAUCUCUCAUUUCCUCCAUUUUCCUCCAUUGAAGAAAACCUUCGGAGCUCCCAAAAAUAUUACCAAACACCUCAAUCCACUCUAAAAUAUUCCAUAAACACAUUCUAGCCACUUAUAAUCAAGAGAAUCCUUGAAGAAGAGCCUCAAAGUUAGAGUGAGAAAGUGUGAACUUUGGUAAGAAACUUGGGCCCGAGCGAGACGAAGAAGUAAGUUGCCUGAUUUCUUUCCAGGAUUAGCGAAGGACUUCAGGCUAAGCGGGGAGCGAGAUUGGUCUGGUGCUGGUGGGGAACCGUUUCAAUCGAUGUGAUCAUAUUUAAUAUUGCCCUUAUGAUUAAUACAGUCUUGAUGAUUAAAAUACUUCGUUUCCUUUCGAAUCAAGUAAUAUACUCACGGUUAUGUGUCUUCAUACAUAUAAUCGGUUCGCCUUUUGCUGCGAUACUCUGCAUAUUAUGCUUCCUUACGAAAAAUGAGCGAUACCCGUUUUGUUUUUGUUCGUGAAAUUCCUGAUAAAUAAAAAGUUAUAACGACGUU
This is a long non-coding RNA of Salvia miltiorrhiza (redroot sage), 646 nucleotides long. RefSeq lists it as uncharacterized. NCBI's taxonomy places the organism in Eukaryota, Viridiplantae, Streptophyta, Magnoliopsida, Lamiales, Lamiaceae. The transcript is spliced from 3 exons. The record is from RefSeq and is a predicted model, not a curated record.